RNAcentral lists this ribosomal RNA (419 nucleotides) under Acanthamoeba sp. RNAcentral's name for it is "SSU rRNA". It matches the Rfam family "Eukaryotic small subunit ribosomal RNA", at positions 762 to 1096 of the family's 1831-position model. The record is from RNAcentral. Lineage: Eukaryota; Discosea; Longamoebia; Acanthamoebidae.
AAAAUUAGAGUGUUCAAAGCAGGCAGAUUCAAUUUUCUGCCACCGAAUACAUUAGCAUGGGAUAAUGGAAUAGGACCCUGUCCUCCUAUUUUCAGUUGGUUUUGGCAGCGCGAGGACUAGGGUAAUGAUUAAUAGGGAUAGUUGGGGGCAUUAAUAUUUAAUUGUCAGAGGUGAAAUUCUUGGAUUUAUGAAAGAUUAACUUCUGCGAAAGCAUCUGCCAAGGAUGUUUUCAUUAAUCAAGAACGAAAGUUAGGGGAUCGAAGACGAUCAGAUACCGUCGUAGUCUUAACCAUAAACGAUGCCGACCAGCGAUUAGGAGACGUUGAAUACAAAACACCACCAUCGGCGCGGUCGUCCUUGGCGCGUUCGUGUUCACGCACGGGCGCGCGAGGGCGGCUUAGCCCGGUGGCACCGGUGAA